This 757-nucleotide ribosomal RNA is filed under the name uncultured bacterium. Its description in RNAcentral is "bacterial SSU rRNA". It matches the Rfam family "Bacterial small subunit ribosomal RNA", at positions 28 to 776 of the family's 1533-position model. The record is from RNAcentral.
AUUGAACGCUGGCGGCAGGCUUAACACAUGCAAGUCGAACGAUGAAACCUAGCUUGCUAGGUGGAUUAGUGGCGGACGGGUGAGUACAACUUAGGAAUCUACCUAUUAGCGGGGGAUAGCUCGGGGAAACUCGAAUUAAUACCGCAUACACCUUACGAGGGAAAGGGGCCUAGCUUUCGGGCAAGGUCUCGCUAAUAGAUGAGCCUAAGCAAGAUUAGCUAGUUGGUGGGGUAAAAGCCUACCAAGGCGACGAUCUUUAGCUGGUCUGAGAGGAUGAUCAGCCACACUGGGACUGAGACACGGCCCAGACUCCUACGGGAGGCAGCAGUGGGGAAUAUUGGACAAUGGGAGCAACCCUGAUCCAGCCAUGCCGCGUGUGUGAAGAAGGCCUUUUGGUUGUAAAGCACUUUAAGCAGUGAGGAAAAGCUAUAUGCUAACACCAUAUAGCCCUGACGUUAACUGCAGAAUAAGCACCGGCUAACUCUGUGCCAGCAGCCGCGGUAAUACAGAGGGUGCAAGCGUUAAUCGGAAUUACUGGGCGUAAAGCGAACGUAGGUGGUCAAUUAAGUCAGAUGUGAAAUCCCUGAGCUCAACUUAGGAACUGCAUCUGAUACUGAUAGACUAGAGUAGGUGAGAGGAGAGUAGAAUUCCAGGUGUAGCGGUGAAAUGCGUAGAUAUCUGGAGGAAUACCGAUGGCGAAGGCAGCUCUCUGGCAUCAUACUGACACUGAGGUUCGAAUGCGUGGGUAGCAAACGGG